Molecule: ribosomal RNA, 460 nt
Filed under: uncultured bacterium
Lineage: Bacteria
Description: partial 16S ribosomal RNA
Rfam family: Bacterial small subunit ribosomal RNA
Source: RNAcentral
CCUCCGUGUGGCAGCAGUGAGGAAUAUUGGUCAAUGGCCGGAAGCCUGAACCAGCCAAGCCGCGUGCGGGAUGACGGCGCAGAGGUUCGCAAACUUCUUUUACCGGGGAACAAAACGCCUUACUCGUCCGGCCCUGCAUUUACCCUGUGAAAAAGGAUCGGCUAAUUCCGUGCCAGCAGCCGCGGUAAUACGGAGGAUGCGGGCGUUAUCCGGAUUCAUUGGGUUUAAAGGGUGCGUAGGCCGCCGUUCCACCGUGCUGUGAAAUCUCGGGGCUCAACCCCGCCCGUGCCGCGGGAACUGGGGUGCUUGAGUGCGGCGAAGGCAGGCGGAAUGCGUGGUGUAGCGGUGAAAUGCAUAGAUAUGGCGAAGAACCCCGAUUGCGAAGGCAGCGUGCUGUGGCGGAACUGACGCUGAGGCACGAAAGCGCGGGGAUCGAACAGGAGUAGAUACCCUUGUAGUC